UACGGGGGGGGCAAGCGUUGUUCGGAAUUACUGGGCGUAAAGGGCGCGUAGGCGGUCAGACCAAGUCGAGUGUGAAAUUCCAGGGCUUAACUCUGGCGCGCUCGCUCGAUACUGGUCGGCUAGAGUGUGGAAGAGGAGUGCUGGAAUUCCCGGUGUAGCGGUGAAAUGCGCAGAUAUCAGGAGGAACACCGGUGGCGAAGGCGGGUCUCUGGGCCGAUACUGACGCUGAGGAGCGAAAGCGUGGGGAGCGAACAGG
Molecule: ribosomal RNA, 256 nt
Filed under: uncultured bacterium
Lineage: Bacteria
Description: partial 16S ribosomal RNA
Rfam family: Bacterial small subunit ribosomal RNA
Source: RNAcentral